Molecule: ribosomal RNA, 442 nt
Filed under: uncultured ammonia-oxidizing beta proteobacterium
Lineage: Bacteria; Pseudomonadati; Pseudomonadota; Betaproteobacteria
Description: bacterial SSU rRNA
Rfam family: Bacterial small subunit ribosomal RNA
Source: RNAcentral
GGAGAAAAGCAGGGGAUCGUAAGACCUUGCGCUUUUGGAGCGGCCGAUGCCUGAUUAGCUAGUUGGUGGGGUAAAAGCCUACCAAGGCAACGAUCAGUAGUUGGUCUGAGAGGACGGCCAGCCACACUGGGACUGAGACACGGCCCAGACUCCUACGGGAGGCAGCAGUGGGGAAUUUUGGACAAUGGGCGCAAGCCUGAUCCAGCAAUGCCGCGUGAGUGAAGAAGGCCUUCGGGUUGUAAAGCUCUUUCAGUCGAGAAGAAAAGAUUGUGACGAAUAAUCACAAUUCAUGACGGUAUCGACAGAAGAAGCACCGGCUAACUACGUGCCAGCAGCCGCGGUAAUACGUAGGGUGCAAGCGUUAAUCGGAAUUACUGGGCGUAAAGGGUGCGCAGGCGGCUUCGUAAGUCAGAUGUGAAAUCCCCGGGCUUAACCUGGGAAU